This 440-nucleotide ribosomal RNA is filed under the name uncultured bacterium. Its description in RNAcentral is "partial 16S ribosomal RNA". It matches the Rfam family "Bacterial small subunit ribosomal RNA", at positions 338 to 795 of the family's 1533-position model. The record is from RNAcentral.
CCUACGGGGAGCAGCAGUGGGGAAUAUUGCACAAUGGGGGAAACCCUGAUGCAGCGACGCCGCGUGAGUGAGGAAGUAUUUCGGUAUGUAAAGCUCUAUCAGCAGGGAAGAAAAUGACGGUAGCUGACUAAGAAGGCCAGGCUAACGACGUGCCAGCAGCCGCGGGAAUACGUAGGGGGCAAGCGGUAUCCGGAUUUACGGGGUGUAAAGGGAGCGUAGCGGGGUAAUCAGGUCAGAAGCGAAACCACAGGGCUCAACCUUGGGACUGCUUUUGAAACUGAGUAGCUAGAGUGCAGGAGCGCUAAGCGGAAUUCCUAGUGUAGCGGUGAAAUGCGUAGAUAUUAGGAGGAACACCCGUGGCGCAGGCGGCUUACUGGACUGUAACUGACGUUGCGGCUCGCAAGCGUGGGGAGCAAACAGGAUUAGAUACCCGAGUAGUC